AUUAACGGUAUCGCAAAAUUUUAGUUUGCACAUGAUACAUUCGAGGAGAGGAAGUCGAAGCACACUGUACCAAAUGUGGAAUCAAUAGAAAACACAACAAAACUUGAUCAUUCCAGCACUUGCCUCAAACCAUUGUUUUACACUUGAAACGUUUCUCCGUAACAACGUUGGACAAAUUGACAAAUAUUAUCGAGUUUUCAACAAAUGCGGCUGGAUUGGAUAUGACGCCAUAUGCAGUUCACUCUAAGACAGUGAAAUACUCGUUGUAUGACGUUGUCCAUCACAAAGGAGCAACUACCGUUACUGGCCAUUAUUAUAGCGACUGUAAACAACAGACGUCACAGCGAUGGUACCGUUUUAACGACGAGAAGUAAGAAUCAAUUCCACCGCAUACAUUCUUUUCUUUGAACA
This is a long non-coding RNA of Sitodiplosis mosellana (orange wheat blossom midge), 411 nucleotides long. RefSeq lists it as uncharacterized. The transcript has 3 exons. Lineage: Eukaryota; Metazoa; Arthropoda; Insecta; Diptera; Cecidomyiidae. The record is from RefSeq and is a predicted model, not a curated record.